This 468-nucleotide ribosomal RNA is filed under the name uncultured bacterium. Its description in RNAcentral is "bacterial SSU rRNA". It matches the Rfam family "Bacterial small subunit ribosomal RNA", at positions 28 to 524 of the family's 1533-position model. The record is from RNAcentral.
GAUGAACGCUGGCGGAGUGCCUAACACAUGCAAGUCGAGCGGCAGCGCGAGUAGUUUACUACUUGGCGGCGAGCGGCGGACGGCUGAGUAACGCGUGGGAACAUGCCCCAAAGUGAGGAAUAACUGCCCGAAAGGGUAGCUAAUGCCGCAUACGAUCUUCGGAUUAAAGGAUUUAUCCGCUUUGGGAGUGGCCUGCGUACGAUUAGAUAGUUGGUGAGGUAAUGGCUCACCAAGUCUACGAUCGUUAACUGGUUUGAGAGGAUGAUCAGUCAGACUGGAACUGAGACACGGUCCAGACUCCUACGGGAGGCAGCAGUGAGGAAUCUUCCACAAUGGACGAAAGUCUGAUGGAGCAACUCCGCGUGCAGGAUGAAGGCCUUCGGGUCGUAAACUGCUUUAUGAGUGAAGAAUAUGACGGUAACUCAUGAAUAAAGGGUCGGCUAACUACGUGCCAGCAGCCGCGGUAAU